RNAcentral lists this ribosomal RNA (824 nucleotides) under Pseudomonas extremaustralis. RNAcentral's name for it is "bacterial SSU rRNA". It matches the Rfam family "Bacterial small subunit ribosomal RNA", at positions 78 to 897 of the family's 1533-position model. The record is from RNAcentral. Lineage: Bacteria; Pseudomonadati; Pseudomonadota; Gammaproteobacteria; Pseudomonadales; Pseudomonadaceae.
GCUUGCUUCUCUUGAGAGCGGCGGACGGGUGAGUAAUGCCUAGGAAUCUGCCUGGUAGUGGGGGAUAACGUCUCGGAAACGGACGCUAAUACCGCAUACGUCCUACGGGAGAAAGCAGGGGACCUUCGGGCCUUGCGCUAUCAGAUGAGCCUAGGUCGGAUUAGCUAGUUGGUGAGGUAAUGGCUCACCAAGGCGACGAUCCGUAACUGGUCUGAGAGGAUGAUCAGUCACACUGGAACUGAGACACGGUCCAGACUCCUACGGGAGGCAGCAGUGGGGAAUAUUGGACAAUGGGCGAAAGCCUGAUCCAGCCAUGCCGCGUGUGUGAAGAAGGUCUUCGGAUUGUAAAGCACUUUAAGUUGGGAGGAAGGGCAGUUACCUAAUACGUGAUUGCUUUGACGUUACCGACAGAAUAAGCACCGGCUAACUCUGUGCCAGCAGCCGCGGUAAUACAGAGGGUGCAAGCGUUAAUCGGAAUUACUGGGCGUAAAGCGCGCGUAGGUGGUUUGUUAAGUUGGAUGUGAAAUCCCCGGGCUCAACCUGGGAACUGCAUUCAAAACUGACUGACUAGAGUAUGGUAGAGGGUGGUGGAAUUUCCUGUGUAGCGGUGAAAUGCGUAGAUAUAGGAAGGAACACCAGUGGCGAAGGCGACCACCUGGACUGAUACUGACACUGAGGUGCGAAAGCGUGGGGAGCAAACAGGAUUAGAUACCCUGGUAGUCCACGCCGUAAACGAUGUCAACUAGCCGUUGGGAGCCUUGAGCUCUUAGUGGCGCAGCUAACGCAUUAAGUUGACCGCCUGGGGAGUACGGCCGCAAGGUUAA